UAUAGUUACAGACGUCAGUUUCAAAAUCGUGUUCGGCUUUUUUUUAAUUUUAAAUAUUUUAAUAAUAACGAGCAAUUCACUCAAACGAUAAUUCAGAAAUAUAUAGACUUGCCACAAGUCGACCAUGGAGGAGGGAGGGCGCGGGGAAGGGAGCGCGCGACCCGAGCGACGAAGUCGCGAGUGGUCGACUUGUGUCCCUUGCAGGAAUUUAAAUCGCAUUAAAAAUUUUGGCGCGAAUAAUUUUGACGUAAAAGGGGUGUGUACAUUUCAUACAAUU
This is a non-coding RNA of Paramuricea clavata, 277 nucleotides long. Lineage: Eukaryota; Metazoa; Cnidaria; Anthozoa; Malacalcyonacea; Plexauridae. The record is from the annotation of a GenBank genome assembly.